Molecule: ribosomal RNA, 158 nt
Filed under: Grosmannia cf. pruni 209GRJ
Lineage: Eukaryota; Fungi; Ascomycota; Sordariomycetes; Ophiostomatales; Ophiostomataceae
Description: Leptographium cf. pruni 209GRJ 5.8S ribosomal RNA
Rfam family: 5.8S ribosomal RNA
About the family: 5.8S ribosomal RNA (5.8S rRNA) is a component of the large subunit of the eukaryotic ribosome. It is transcribed by RNA polymerase I as part of the 45S precursor that also contains 18S and 28S rRNA.
Source: RNAcentral
AAACUUUCAACAACGGAUCUCUUGGUUCUGGCAUCGAUGAAGAACGCAACGAACUGCGAUAAGUAAUGUGAAUUGCAGAAUUCAGCGAACCAUCGAAUCUUUGAACGCACAUUGCGCCCGCCAGCAUUCUGGCGGGCAUGCCUGUCCGAGCGUCAUUU